Molecule: long non-coding RNA, 1223 nt
Organism: Physella acuta
Lineage: Eukaryota; Metazoa; Mollusca; Gastropoda; Physidae
Source: RefSeq, a predicted model, not a curated record
CCUCGAGGCGCCCCGUACGUUCAUUCACAGGAAAUUCUAGAUCCACUACGGCUACUCGCAGAAUGCCACGCCCACACAUGCCCCACCAAUCAACGGUGUCGAUGACGUACUUCCUGUUUGCAUGUGUGCUGGCAGCGUGUACAGUGGACGCACGAGAGAAGCGGCAGCUGUUCACGGCGUGCUCCGGCUGGGGGCCCAGCUGCUCCGUCUACAGCUCCAUAGGGCGCGACGUGGUGCCAGCAGUCAGCAUCAGCAGACCUUCACCCCGUCGGGAGACCCCACCGGUGCAGGAGUUUUACAGCAGAGGGCGCCUGGGCAUACCAAGCCUUGUUACAUCAGGUGGCUGGGAACCUGGGACGAUGGGGAAAAGGAUGCAGCAAGAAGACUCCGUCAUGGAUUUGUUAUGGCUGCUUCAACAGGCUAGCCGUGAUAACAAUUAAAAACACGAGACAGCAAGAUGUAAAGUACAGCCAAAACAACAGCGGAUUAGUGCUAGACUUCAGCGAGUCUCACGCCAGACAACAGGGAUCAUGGAACUCUAGCUUCAAGAAUACUUUAUUAGACAACUUGAAAAAGAACAUUGUUAUCGAAUUAUAUCUAGAACAAACUGUUAUUUUUAUUUCAACAAACAGGGAUCAUGGAACUCUAGCUUCAAGAAUACUUUAUUAGACAACUUGAAAAAGAACAUUGUUAUCGAAUUAUAUCUAGAACAAACUGUUAUUUUUAUUUCAACAAACAGGGAUCAUGGAACUCUAGCUUCAAGAAUACUUUAUUAGACAACUUGAAAAAGAACAUUGUUAUCGAAUUAUAGCUAGAACAAACUGUUAUUUUUAUUUCAACUAACAGGGAUCAUGGAACUCUAGCUUCAAGAAUACUUUAUUAGACAACUUGAAAAAGAACAUUGUUAUCGAAUUAUAGCUAGAACAGACUGUUAUUUUUAUUUCAACAUAAAAAAAAUUAUUCUCUAGCCUGGACGCCUACACGGAGCCACAAGUGACACCCAUAAACUAAAUGAUUGUGUAGGAUUUCUUGUUAAGAAUCCAUUCGUGGUUUAUAUUAAAAACGGUUGAAAUAACACUAUUAAAAUUAAGCCUCCUACACUAAGUUCAACAGGCUUUGAAUUUUUAAAAAGGUUGUUUUAGUUUCAUCCGUGUAUUACAAUAUAAUUGUAGAUAUUAUGACAAAUUGAAAAUACAAUAAAACAGAAAUAAACUAUUGUAAAA